GGUGUCGAUGCAAGCCAAGGAGCCAAGAAGGGUUCCUCAUGGUGAUGAAAUGUUAAAGAAUUGAAGCAAAAUCCAGCCUUAAUUCUCUUGCAUGUGUAGAGAUUCUACAUCAAUAAGCUAUGAAACAAGUGGAUCAUGUCAAGGUGGGGGAAAGCAUAGAAGGCUAAUGGAAAGGAUAUGAGGAAGCAUGUACGAAACGGGCACUUGAGGUACGCUAACAUAGAGAAAGAGUGUUGAUGUCUGGAUGUAAUGCAUGAAUGAGGAAGGAUAAUAGAAUGAAACAUCUUAUGUCGUCUGAAGCACGAUAUGUUCCUUUAGUUUCGUGUUUAUAGUAUAUGUAAGAUGUCACCAUAUACUAAUGUUUGAAUUGUUUAUGAUGACCGCAAGUCACUUAAACCAUUGUUAUUAUCGAAGGAUAAACGGUGGAGAUCGAGCUAAAGAGCUUGGACUAUACGGAAAGAGGUUAUCACCUUGACAUAUUUGAAUGAUUUAAUCACUAUGUCAAUUACGUAUGAAUGAUGUAACUUCUUUUAAAGAAG
Molecule: long non-coding RNA, 539 nt
Organism: Helianthus annuus (common sunflower)
Lineage: Eukaryota; Viridiplantae; Streptophyta; Magnoliopsida; Asterales; Asteraceae
Exons: 3
Source: RefSeq, a predicted model, not a curated record